AUUGAACGCUGGCGGCAUGCUUUACACAUGCAAGUCGAACGGCAGCACGGGCUUCGGCCUGGUGGCGAGUGGCGAACGGGUGAGUAAUAUAUCGGAACGUACCCAGAAGUGGGGGAUAACGUAGCGAAAGUUACGCUAAUACCGCAUACGAUCUAUGGAUGAAAGCAGGGGACCGCAAGGCCUUGUGCUCCUGGAGCGGCCGAUAUCUGAUUAGCUAGUUGGUGAGGUAAAGGCUCACCAAGGCGACGAUCAGUAGCUGGUCUGAGAGGACGACCAGCCACACUGGAACUGAGACACGGUCCAGACUCCUACGGGAGGCAGCAGUGGGGAAUUUUGGACAAUGGGCGCAAGCCUGAUCCAGCAAUGCCGCGUGAGUGAUGAAGGCCUUCGGGUUGUAAAGCUCUUUUGUCAGGGAAGAAACGGUAGAGGCUAAUAUCCUUUGCUAAUGACGGUACCUGAAGAAUAAGCACCGGCUAACUACGUG
This 484-nucleotide ribosomal RNA is filed under the name uncultured bacterium. RNAcentral's name for it is "partial 16S ribosomal RNA". It matches the Rfam family "Bacterial small subunit ribosomal RNA", at positions 30 to 507 of the family's 1533-position model. The record is from RNAcentral.